Molecule: ribosomal RNA, 253 nt
Filed under: uncultured bacterium
Lineage: Bacteria
Description: partial 16S ribosomal RNA
Rfam family: Bacterial small subunit ribosomal RNA
Source: RNAcentral
UACGGAGGGUGCAAGCGUUAUCCGGAUUUACUGGGUUUAAAGGGUGCGCAGGCGGAUAUGUAAGUCAGUGGUGAAAUCUUCCCGCUUAACGGGAAAACUGCCGUUGAUACUAUAUAUCUUGAAUGCCGUGGAGGUAAGCGGAAUAUGUCAUGUAGCGGUGAAAUGCUUAGAGAUGACAUAGAACACCUAUUGCGAAGGCAGCUUACUACACGGAGAUUGACGCUCAUGCACGAAAGCAUGGGGAUCAAACAGG